This 256-nucleotide ribosomal RNA is filed under the name uncultured bacterium. RNAcentral describes it as "partial 16S ribosomal RNA". It matches the Rfam family "Bacterial small subunit ribosomal RNA", at positions 524 to 776 of the family's 1533-position model. The record is from RNAcentral.
UACGUAGGGUGCGAGCGUUGUCCGGAAUUACUGGGCGUAAAGAGCUCGUAGGUGGUUUUGUCGCGUUGUUCGUGAAAUCUCACGGCUUAACUGUGAGCGUGCGGGCGAUACGGGCAGACUAGAGUACUGCAGGGGAGACUGGAAUUCCUGGUGUAGCGGUGGAAUGCGCAGAUAUCAGGAGGAACACCGGUGGCGAAGGCGGGUCUCUGGGCAGUAACUGACGCUGAGGAGCGAAAAGCGUGGGGGAGCGAACAGG